Passer domesticus (house sparrow) is the source of this 2951-nucleotide long non-coding RNA. RefSeq lists it as uncharacterized. NCBI's taxonomy places the organism in Eukaryota, Metazoa, Chordata, Aves, Passeriformes, Passeridae. The transcript is spliced from 5 exons. The record is from RefSeq and is a predicted model, not a curated record.
CUGGGAGGUUUCUGGGGUCUCUCCAAGGUGUUUUCAAAUGAAAACAUUCAGCUCAGAGUCUAAGAAAAUCACCAGAGGACAGGGCCAGCCUGACCUGGCUGUUUUUGUCUGAGCAAUCCUUGGAUAUAUAGAAUUUGGGAGAUAAAAUUCUAAUUUUGGCCAUGGCAUCUGGGCAUGAAAGGUGGUUCUUUUCCACAGGAAUUAAGGAACAGAGCCACAGUGUUUCAGGGGCAGAUGAGAGGUGACCACCAGAGGCCAAGGCUAGCCAGAGCAGGGAAAGCACGGAGCCCCAGUGUUUCAGGAGCUGAUGAGAAGCAGCCCUUGACAUGCCAAGGUCAGCUAGACUUGUCAGGUGGCCCAUGGGGAGACCAAGCCAGCCAGACCUGCUCCAUGUUCCCUCAGUUACACGGGGCCCCAUAGUGUCCCAAUGGUCCCUUGCUUCCAUGACGCACUGAGGUGUCCCAAUGGCCCUUUGGUGACAUGAGGCCCUGAAAGGCCCUCAUGGUCUCCAUGGUUCCAUCAGGCCCCACAGAGUCAUAAUGAUCUCUGGGUUCCAUGAAGCCCCGCUGUGUCACCAUGGCCCCUUGGUUCCAUGGGCUCCAGUGGUGCCACAAUGAACCCCUUGCUUUCAUGAGGUCCCCACAGUAUCCCAGGGAUCUCCAUGGGAAGGAAAGAACCAAGCCCCAGUGUUGCAGAGGCAGUCACCAGAGGCCAAGGCCAGCCAGACUUGAUGGGACUGGCAGAUUUUGCCUGGAAGCAACCCUUGGAUAUACAGAAUUUUAGAGGAAGGAAAGCACAGAGCUCAAGUGUUUCAAAUGGAGAUGAGGAGAGAGAUGGCUCCUGGGAGGCUCAGCCAGCCAUAUCUGUUUCUCCUGGCAGCUUUCAUCAUGGAGGAGUCCUUGGAUAUAUGGAAUUUGGGAGGAAGAAUUUCUAAUUUGACAAUGGACACCUUGAGAAGAAGGAUGGUUCUUUUCCAUUGGAAGGAAAGCACUGAGCCCCAGUGUUUGGAAAGCAGUCCCCAAGAGGCCAAGGGCAGCCAGACCUGUCAGUCCUGGCAACUUUCACUUGGGAGCAAUCCUUGGAUGUACAGAAUUUUGGAAGUGGAAUCCCAGUUUUGGCCAUGGGCACCUGGUCAAGAUGGAUGAUUUGCUGCUACAGGAAAGAGAAGUGCCAAGUCCAAGUGUUCUGGAAGAUGAUGAGAGGUAGCCACCCUUAGGCCAAGACAGCCAGACCUGUCUCUCCUGGCAGCUUUUGUCUAGGGGCUAUCCUUGGACAUAGAGCAUUUUGGAGGUGCAAUCUCAAUUUUGGCUGUGGAUACGUGGACAGGAAUAGUUCUUUCUAUGAAGAAAGAAAGCGCAGAGCCUCAGUGUUUCAGAGGCAGAUGAGUGCCAGCCCUCAGGAAGCCAAGGCCAGCCAGACUUGUCACUCCUGGCAGCUUUUGUCUCAGAGUUAUCCUUGGAUAUAGGGAAUGCUGGAGACAGAUGCCCAAUUUUGGCCAUGUGUACUUGGUCGGGAUGGAUGUUUUUUUCCCAUAAGAAAGAAAAGCACAUGGUCCCAGUGUUUCAAAGACAGAUGAGAGAUGGCCCCUGGAUGGCCAAGGCAACCAGAUCUGUCACUCCUGGCAGAUUUCAUCUGGAAACAACCUUUGCAUAUAAGGAAAUGUGGAGAAGGAAUCCAAAUUUUGGCCAUGGGGCCUUGGAGGAGAAGGACACUUCUCUCUCAUAAGAAGGAAAGCCCAGAGCCCCAGUGCUCCAGGGACAGAUGAGAAGCAGCCCUCGACAUGCCAAAGUCAGCUGGACUUGUCAGGUGGUCCCCAGGAGGCCCAGCCAGCCAGACCUGUUCCCUGUUCCCUUGGUUUUGUGGGACCCCACAGUGUCACAAUGGUUUCCUUGGUUUCAUGAGGCCCUGGAGUGUCAGAAUGUUCCCCCUGCUUCUGCAGUGUCACAAUGGCCCCGUGCUUCCAUGAGACCUUGCAACGUCACAAUGGCUCAUGCUCCCACAAAGCCCUGAUGUGUCACCAUGGCCCCUCGGCUCCAUGCCCCCUCGCUGUGUCACAAUGGCUUCUCUGUGACACUACAGGAUCCACAAGGUCACCAUGGACCCUUGGUUCCUUGGGGCCCCGAGUUUCACAAUGAUCUCCUUGAUUGCAUGAGUCACCAGAGUGUCACAGUGGCCCCUUGGUUCCAUGAGGUUCCGUAGUGUCACCGUGGUGUCCUUGGACCCGCGUUGUCACAACUGACCCCUGGCUCCAUGAGGUUCCGUACGGUCACUGUGGUCGCUGUCAGAGGCAGGAUGAGAUCAAUGUCCCGAGACACCUUGGGAUGCUUGGAAUGCCCAUGUGGGGCCAGGGCCGGGUUAGGCCUUGCCUCAAAUCCUGAUAGGCACAGGAGGGAAACUAAAGCUGCAGGAGCCCAAGAUGUUGUCACCUUGGCUGUGUGACUUCCUGAGCUGCUGCCUGCAGACAGAUGAGGAGCAGCGCUGGUCUGCCAAGGAGCUCCUGCAGCAUCCAUUUAUAACAUCUGCUGAGCCUGCAUCCAGCCUGGUGCCACUGCUUGGUGCAGUGAGGAAGAGGAAGGAGACAAGACAGCACCACUUAGUUAUCAACCACCUUAGAGCAGGAUUGUAGGUUAGGAUAAGGGUAAGGUUUAGGCUUAGGCUUAGGUUUAGGCUUAGGUUUAGGCUUAGUCUUAGGUUUAGGCUUAGAUUUAGGCUUAGAUUUAGGCGUAAGUUUAGGCUUAGGUUUAGGCUUAGGCUUAGGUUUAGGCUUAGGCUUAAGCUUAGGGUUAGGCUUAAGACUAGGUUUAGUGCUGCGGUUACGGUUAGAGUUACUGUUAUGACUAGGUUUAGUUUUAGGUUUAGUGUUAGGGUUACAACUAGUCUUAAGGGGUUAGAGUUAGGGUAUGAUUUUGUAAUAGGUGUGCAGAGUAGAAUUUGAAAUUAAUAAAACAUUU